AAUGCAGUGUGUUUGUGUAGUGUGUUUUAUAUAAUGCACACUACACAAACACACUGCAUU
RNAcentral lists this microRNA precursor (60 nucleotides) under Pelobates cultripes (western spadefoot toad). Lineage: Eukaryota; Metazoa; Chordata; Amphibia; Anura; Pelobatidae. The record is from RNAcentral.